Non-coding RNA from Coniochaeta sp. 2T2.1, 88 nucleotides. Lineage: Eukaryota; Fungi; Ascomycota; Sordariomycetes; Coniochaetales; Coniochaetaceae. The record is from the annotation of a GenBank genome assembly.
GGCCUCGUGGCGCAAUGGUAGCGCGUAGCUUUCCGGUUGAUCUUUCCAGUCCUAGCUGAGGUUUCAGGUUCGAGUCCUGACGGGGUCG